AAAUUGAAGAGUUUGAUCAUGGCUCAGAUUGAACGCUGGCGGCAGGCCUAACACAUGCAAGUCGAACGGUAGCACAGAGAGCUUGCUCUCGGGUGACGAGUGGCGGACGGGUGAGUAAUGUCUGGGAAACUGCCCGAUGGAGGGGGAUAACUACUGGAAACGGUAGCUAAUACCGCAUAAUGUCGCAAGACCAAAGAGGGGGACCUUCGGGCCUCUUGCCAUCGGAUGUGCCCAGAUGGGAUUAGCUUGUAGGUGAGGUAACGGCUCACCUAGGCGACGAUCCCUAGCUGGUCUGAGAGGAUGACCAGCCACACUGGAACUGAGA
Molecule: ribosomal RNA, 325 nt
Filed under: Klebsiella oxytoca
Lineage: Bacteria; Pseudomonadati; Pseudomonadota; Gammaproteobacteria; Enterobacterales; Enterobacteriaceae
Description: bacterial SSU rRNA
Rfam family: Bacterial small subunit ribosomal RNA
Source: RNAcentral